RNAcentral lists this ribosomal RNA (744 nucleotides) under uncultured bacterium. RNAcentral's name for it is "bacterial SSU rRNA". It matches the Rfam family "Bacterial small subunit ribosomal RNA", at positions 94 to 823 of the family's 1533-position model. The record is from RNAcentral.
AGCGGCGGAUGGGUGAGUAACACGUGGGGAACCUGCCCCUAAGUCUGGGAUACCAUUUGGAAACAGGUGCUAAUACCGGAUAAUAAAGCAGAUCGCAUGAUCAGCUUUUGAAAGGCGGCGUAAGCUGUCGCUAAGGGAUGGCCCCGCGGUGCAUUAGCUAGUUGGUAAGGUAACGGCUUACCAAGGCGACGAUGCAUAGCCGAGUUGAGAGACUGAUCGGCCACAUUGGGACUGAGACACGGCCCAAACUCCUACGGGAGGCAGCAGUAGGGAACCUUCCACAAUGGACGCAAGUCUGAUGGAGCAACGCCGCGUGAGUGAAGAAGGUUUUCGGAUCGUAAAGCUCUAUUGUUGGUGAAGAAGGAUAGAGGUAGUAACUGGCCUUUAUUUGACGGUAAUCAACCAGAAAGUCACGGCUAACUACGUGCCAGCAGCCGCGGUAAUACGUAGGUGGCAAGCGUUGUCCGGAUUUAUUGGGCGUAAAGUGAGCGCAGGCGGAAAAAUAAGUCUAAUGUGAAAGCCCUCGGCUUAACCGAGGAACUGCAUCGGAAACUGUUUUUCUUGAGUGCAGAAGAGGAGAGUGGAACUCCAUGUGUAGCGGUGGAAUGCGUAGAUAUAUGGAAGAACACCAGUGGCGAAAGGCGGCUCUCUGGUCUGCAACUGACGCUGAGGCUCGAAAGCAUGGGUAGCGAACAGGAUUAGAUACCCUGGGUAGUCCAUGCCGUAACGAUGAGUGCUAAGUGU